RNAcentral lists this microRNA precursor (128 nucleotides) under Erythranthe guttata (spotted monkey flower). The record is from RNAcentral. Lineage: Eukaryota; Viridiplantae; Streptophyta; Magnoliopsida; Lamiales; Phrymaceae.
GAGAGAAGUAGACAAGGUGUGAUAUUGCUUUGGCUCAAGACCAAUAUUUAUAUUUAAUUUUCCAUCAAAAUUAAAUAAGCAGUUUUUUGGGUUUGAGCCGAAUCAAUAUCACUCUUGUAUGCUUUUCU